Molecule: ribosomal RNA, 511 nt
Filed under: uncultured Pseudomonas sp.
Lineage: Bacteria; Pseudomonadati; Pseudomonadota; Gammaproteobacteria; Pseudomonadales; Pseudomonadaceae
Description: bacterial SSU rRNA
Rfam family: Bacterial small subunit ribosomal RNA
Source: RNAcentral
CUAUGCGCCUUCGCCAGCCCGCUCAGAAACUCAAAGGAAUUGGACGGGGCCCGCACAAGCGGUGGAGCAUGUGGUUUUAAUUCGAUGAUACGCGAGGAACCUUACCUGGGCUCAAAUGUAUGUUUGACGUAUUCUGAAAGGGAUACUUCUUCGGACAAUAUACAAGGUGCUGCAUGGUUGUCGUCAGCUCGUGCCGUGAGGUGUCGGGUUAAGUCCCAUAACGAGCGCAACCCUUGUCCUUAGUUACCAGCACGUUAUGGUGGGCACUCUAAGGAGACUGCCGGUGACAAACCGGAGGAAGGUGGGGAUGACGUCAAGUCAUCAUGGCCCUUACGGCCUGGGCUACACACGUGCUACAAUGGUCGGUACAAAGGGUUGCCAAGCCGCGAGGUGGAGCUAAUCCCAUAAAACCGAUCGUAGUCCGGAUCGCAGUCUGCAACUCGACUGCGUGAAGUCGGAAUCGCUAGUAAUCGUGAAUCAGAAUGUCACGGUGAAUACGUUCCCGGGCCUU